GACGUAGGAUGCGAGCGUUGUCCGGAUUUAUUGGGCGUAAAGAGUUCGUAGGUGGUUUGUUAAGUCUGAUGUUAAAGACUGGGGCUCAACCUCGGAAGUGCAUUGGAUACUGGCGGACUCGAGUGCAGUAGAGGCAAGCGGAAUUCCAGGUGUAGCGGUGAAAUGCGUAGAUAUCUGGAAGAACACCGGUGGCGCAAGCGGCUUGCUGGGCUGUAACUGACACUGAGGAACGAAAGCUAGGGUAGCGAAUGGG
RNAcentral lists this ribosomal RNA (253 nucleotides) under uncultured bacterium. RNAcentral's name for it is "partial 16S ribosomal RNA". It matches the Rfam family "Bacterial small subunit ribosomal RNA", at positions 524 to 776 of the family's 1533-position model. The record is from RNAcentral.